GGGGGCAAGCGUUGUCCGGAAUCAUUGGGCGUAAAGAGCGUGUAGGCGGCCCGGUAAGUCCGCCGUGAAAGUCCAGGGCUCAACCCUGGAAUGCCGGUGGAAACUGCCGGGCUGGAGUCCGGAAGAGGCGAGUGGAAUUCCUGGUGUAGCGGUGAAAUGCGCAGAUAUCAGGAGGAACACCAAUGGCGAAGGCAGCUCGCUGGGACGGUACUGACGCUGAGACGCGAAAGCGUGGGGAGCAAACAGG
RNAcentral lists this ribosomal RNA (247 nucleotides) under uncultured bacterium. RNAcentral's name for it is "partial 16S ribosomal RNA". It matches the Rfam family "Bacterial small subunit ribosomal RNA", at positions 530 to 776 of the family's 1533-position model. The record is from RNAcentral.